Molecule: ribosomal RNA, 159 nt
Filed under: uncultured Russula
Lineage: Eukaryota; Fungi; Basidiomycota; Agaricomycetes; Russulales; Russulaceae
Description: 5.8S ribosomal RNA
Rfam family: 5.8S ribosomal RNA
About the family: 5.8S ribosomal RNA (5.8S rRNA) is a component of the large subunit of the eukaryotic ribosome. It is transcribed by RNA polymerase I as part of the 45S precursor that also contains 18S and 28S rRNA.
Source: RNAcentral
UACAACUUUCAACAACGGAUCUCUUGGCUCUCGCAUCGAUGAAGAACGCAGCGAAAUGCGAUACGUAAUGUGAAUUGCAGAAUUCAGUGAAUCAUCGAAUCUUUGAACGCACCUUGCGCCCCUUGGAAUUCCGAGGGGCACACCCGUUUGAGUGUCGUG